CUUUCUUGAAUUCUUCAACCGGAACUUGCCCGAAAUUCGCUUGCAUCACGUUCUGAAUCCACAGCCCCAUGUUCUCUCUAACUCUAAGCUCUCCCCAAUGGAAAAGCACCAACCUUGCCGGCUUUGCGCAUCCGUUUUUCAUAGACCAACCGACAAAAGGCAUCAUGGCCAUUAACCCGUGCCACAAGUUUCCGUAGUCAUAGAAUGUGUCGGACACGAACGCGAGACCCUUCAAGAAUGUGGUGGAGUUUGGUAGGCCUUCAGGAUAUGCCAAGGCAUAUGAGUUUCUAGUGCCGUCGCUUAUGUCAUUCCCUUUGAUGCACAAUAGCCUUCCGUUGGACGCCUCCGAAGGGAAAUAAAGUGUUGGCAAACCUUGUGUCUUUGAGAGGAAGAAAUUUAACCGAGUUUCGGAGUUUCAAGGCGGGUGAGAAGGAAGGAGAGGGUUGUGCAAGAUAUAGGAUAAGAAUCAGAAAGAGUGAAGAGAUGCAAAUGGCGAUGAGAACGGUUGAGUGAGAAACGCUCUUCUUUUUGUUUAAUAGCUUGGGCUUGCUUUCCACUUCCAUGGUUUCUUUUCUUGUGUUCAAAGCGAAUGACCAGAAAGGGGCACAUUUAGAGGAGUUAAAUAACAAUUGGAUCUAGAGAUUGAGAUUUUGGUGUUGAUUUAUAUUUAAAUAGAAAGACAAGCAACAAAUGAUUACCAUUA
Molecule: long non-coding RNA, 703 nt
Organism: Pyrus x bretschneideri (Chinese white pear)
Lineage: Eukaryota; Viridiplantae; Streptophyta; Magnoliopsida; Rosales; Rosaceae
Exons: 2
Source: RefSeq, a predicted model, not a curated record